This 306-nucleotide unclassified non-coding RNA is filed under the name plant metagenome. RNAcentral's name for it is "partial contains 5.8S ribosomal RNA, internal transcribed spacer 2, and large subunit ribosomal RNA". The stretch from base 1 to 105 matches the Rfam family "5.8S ribosomal RNA", at positions 50 to 154 of the family's 154-position model. The record is from RNAcentral.
GAAAUGCGAUAAGUAAUGUGAAUUGCAGAAUUCAGUGAAUCAUCGAAUCUUAGAACGCACAUUGCGCCCGCCAGUAUUCUGGCGGGCAUGCCUGUCCGAGCGUCAUUUCAACCAUCAAGCCCCCGGGCUUGUGUUGGGGACCUGCGGCUGCCCGCAGGCCCUGAAAACCAGUGGCGGGCUCGCUGUCACACCGAGCGUAGUAGCAAUCACCUCGCUCAGGGCGUGCUGCGGGUUCCGGCCGUUAAACAGCCUUACAAAACCCAAGGUUGACCUCGGAUCAGGUAGGAAGACCCGCUGAACUUAAGC